CCAGACUCCUACGGGAGGCAGCAGUGGGGAAUAUUGGGCAAUGGGCGCAAGCCUGACCCAGCAACGCCGCGUGAAGGAAGAAGGCUUUCGGGUUGUAAACUUCUUUUCUCAGGGACGAAGCAAGUGACGGUACCUGAGGAAUAAGCCACGGCUAACUACGUGCCAGCAGCCGCGGUAAUACGUAGGUGGCAAGCGUUAUCCGGAUUUACUGGGUGUAAAGGGCGUGUAGGCGGGAAAGCAAGUCAGAUGUGAAAACCAUGGGCUCAACCUGUGGCCUGCAUUUGAAACUGUUUUUCUUGAGUACUGGAGAGGCAGACGGAAUUCCUAGUGUAGCGGUGAAAUGCGUAGAUAUUAGGAGGAACACCAGUGGCGAAGGCGGUCUGCUGGACAGCAACUGACGCUGAGGCGCGAAAGCGUGGGGAGCAAACAGGAUUAGAUACCCCAGUA
Molecule: ribosomal RNA, 447 nt
Filed under: uncultured bacterium
Lineage: Bacteria
Description: bacterial SSU rRNA
Rfam family: Bacterial small subunit ribosomal RNA
Source: RNAcentral